UACGUAGGGUCCGAGCGUUGUCCGGAAUUACUGGGCGUAAAGAGCUCGUAGGUGGUUUGUCGCGUUGUUCGUGAAAACUCACAGCUCAACUGUGGGCGUGCGGGCGAUACGGGCAGACUUGAGUACUGCAGGGGAGACUGGAAUUCCCGGUGUAGCGGUGAAAUGCGUAGAGAUCGGGAGGAACACCAGCGGCGAAGGCGGCAAACUGGAUAGGCACUGACACUCAACAACGAAAGCGUGGGGAGCAAACAGG
This 253-nucleotide ribosomal RNA is filed under the name uncultured bacterium. Its description in RNAcentral is "partial 16S ribosomal RNA". It matches the Rfam family "Bacterial small subunit ribosomal RNA", at positions 524 to 776 of the family's 1533-position model. The record is from RNAcentral.